Molecule: long non-coding RNA, 926 nt
Organism: Hylaeus volcanicus
Lineage: Eukaryota; Metazoa; Arthropoda; Insecta; Hymenoptera; Colletidae
Exons: 3
Source: RefSeq, a predicted model, not a curated record
GCCGGAAGCGGUGCUCCUAUUGGCUCGUAGCUCGCGUUCCUAACGGUGGGGGAGAGACGAGACGCGCCUCAACGUCGUCCUGGGACCGUGUUCCGACCAGGAGAGACAGCACGAGGAAGCCCGGAAAGGGCGAGAGACUGGCGAUCUCGGAGAGCAAAGAACUGGUCCUCCUCGACCUAUCCAUCUUCGAGUAACGAAGAUCGAAACAUUGGCUGCGGUACUUUGAGAACAGAUGCACGACGCGUGGACUUGAGAAGAGUUGACGUUUCGUUUUCAUUCGCAUCGACGACCUUUCUUUCGCUCGGUGGCUCCCUCGUCGAUUGCCGGAGAAAGGGAAAAAAUGCAACGGAGGAGGGCGUAUAGGGACGUUAAUUCUGGUGGAAGAGGCAUAAAGCUCUGAAUCACCGGUGAACCGGUAUCACCGUAUACCGAACGCGAUGUCUGUUCUGCGAACGCGGAAACCACGAGGAGCCAGCAGCCUCGCGCGGCUCACGGAAGGAUUCCUUUCUCCUCCUUCGUUGUCGUUCAUCCUCCUACUCUUUCACUCUUUUUCUCUUUUCCUCGUUCUCUUCCACGUACACAGAGAUUAUCUUCAUCCUCUUUGUGGCGCUUUUCUCUUUAGCCAACACGCAGAUGCUGCGUUCAUUCACGGUCGCUUCCGAGGCAUCCUUCGGCCGCUGUUUGCCCGGUCGCGCACAAUGCAAUAAUUAUUAUUGGAUUUGUGCAAAAAUUAUAGUGGUUUCUUUCAAAGUUAAAUUUCUGCGCAAGAAAGUAUUAUUGGAGACGUUUAUUUUGAAAUUGGUUUGCCAGUUUUUUGUUUUUAAAUUUAGAUGUUUAAGGAUAUGGUUCUUAAUCUUUAGCUUUAAAUGACCAUGCUAUACUUACGAGAAAUUACUCGUAGAUUCGUCUAUGUUAAAUUUCCGUGA